This 465-nucleotide ribosomal RNA is filed under the name uncultured beta proteobacterium. RNAcentral's name for it is "bacterial SSU rRNA". It matches the Rfam family "Bacterial small subunit ribosomal RNA", at positions 338 to 795 of the family's 1533-position model. Lineage: Bacteria; Pseudomonadati; Pseudomonadota; Betaproteobacteria. The record is from RNAcentral.
CCUACGGGUGGCAGCAGUGGGGAAUUUUGGACAAUGGGCGCAAGCCUGAUCCAGCCAUUCCGCGUGCAGGACGAAGGCCUUCGGGUUGUAAACUGCUUUUGUACGGAACGAAAAGGCUCUGGUUAAUACCUGGGGCUCAUGACGGUACCGUAAGAAUAAGCACCGGCUAACUACGUGCCAGCAGCCGCGGUAAUACGUAGGGUGCAAGCGUUAAUCGGAAUUACUGGGCGUAAAGCGUGCGCAGGCGGUGAUGUAAGACAGAUGUGAAAUCCCCGGGCUCAACCUGGGAACUGCAUUUGUGACUGCAUCGCUGGAGUGCGGCAGAGGGGGAUGGAAUUCCGCGUGUAGCAGUGAAAUGCGUAGAUAUGCGGAGGAACACCGAUGGCGAAGGCAAUCCCCUGGGCCUGCACUGACGCUCAUGCACGAAAGCGUGGGGAGCAAACAGGAUUAGAUACCCUUGUAGUC